Molecule: non-coding RNA, 72 nt
Organism: Ictidomys tridecemlineatus (thirteen-lined ground squirrel)
Lineage: Eukaryota; Metazoa; Chordata; Mammalia; Rodentia; Sciuridae
Source: Rfam
GGGGCUGUGGCUCUGUGGUAGAGCAUUCGCCUAGCAUGUGUGAGGCCCUGGGUUCCAUCCUCAGCAGCACAU